GAUGAACGCUGGCGGCGUGCUUAACACAUGCAAGUCGAACGAGGUCCAACCUUCGGGUGAAGACCUAGUGGCGAACGGGUGAGUAACACGUGGGGAACCUGCCCUUCUCUCUGGGAUAACGUCGAGAAAUCGGUGCUAAUACCGGAUACUCCUUGCGGAUCGCAUGGUCUGCUCGGGAAAGCUCCGGCGGAGAAGGAUGGCCCCGCGGCCCAUUAGCUAGUUGGUGAGGUAACGGCCCACCAAGGCGACGAUGGGUAGCCGAGCUGAGAGGCUGAUCGGCCACACUGGGACUGAGACACGGCCCAGACUCCUACGGGAGGCAGCAGUGGGGAAUUUUGCACAAUGGGCGAAAGCCUGAUGCAGCAACGCCGCGUGCGGGAUGAAGGCCCUCAGGUUGUAAACCGCUUUCAGCAGGGACGAAACUGACGGUACCUGCAGAAGAAGCCCCGGCUAACUACGUGCCAGCCGCCGCAGUAA
RNAcentral lists this ribosomal RNA (477 nucleotides) under uncultured bacterium. Its description in RNAcentral is "partial 16S ribosomal RNA". It matches the Rfam family "Bacterial small subunit ribosomal RNA", at positions 28 to 523 of the family's 1533-position model. The record is from RNAcentral.